Molecule: microRNA precursor, 148 nt
Filed under: Vicugna pacos (alpaca)
Lineage: Eukaryota; Metazoa; Chordata; Mammalia; Artiodactyla; Camelidae
Description: miRNA (ENSVPAG00000017205.1)
Rfam family: mir-1302 microRNA precursor family (bases 44-95)
Source: RNAcentral
GACGCCCAGUGAAAUUUAAAUUUCAAAUAAGCAAUGAAAUAUUUUUUUAGCAUAAGUAUGUCUCAUGCAAUAUUUGGGGCAUACUUAUACUAAAAAAAUCAUUUGUCAUCUCUCUGCAAUUCAGAUUUCACUGAAUAUCCCUUAUUUU